Molecule: ribosomal RNA, 497 nt
Filed under: uncultured bacterium
Lineage: Bacteria
Description: partial 16S ribosomal RNA
Rfam family: Bacterial small subunit ribosomal RNA
Source: RNAcentral
GAUGAACGCUGGCGGCGUGCCUAAUACAUGCAAGUCGAGCGAACAGACGAGGAGCUUGCUCCUCUGACGUUAGCGGCGGACGGGUGAGUAACACGUGGAUAACCUACCUAUAAGACUGGGAUAACUUCGGGAAACCGGAGCUAAUACCGGAUAAUAUAUUGAACCGCAUGGUUCAAUAGUGAAAGACGGUUUUGCUGUCACUUAUAGAUGGAUCCGCGCCGCAUUAGCUAGUUGGUAAGGUAACGGCUUACCAAGGCGACGAUGCGUAGCCGACCUGAGAGGGUGAUCGGCCACACUGGAACUGAGACACGGUCCAGACUCCUACGGGAGGCAGCAGUAGGGAAUCUUCCGCAAUGGGCGAAAGCCUGACGGAGCAACGCCGCGUGAGUGAUGAAGGUCUUCGGGUCGUAAAACUCUGUUAUUAGGGAAGAACAAAUGUGUAAGUAACUAUGCACGUCUUGACGGUACCUAAUCAGAAAGCCACGGCUAACUACGUG